This 708-nucleotide ribosomal RNA is filed under the name uncultured archaeon. Its description in RNAcentral is "bacterial SSU rRNA". It matches the Rfam family "Archaeal small subunit ribosomal RNA", at positions 81 to 792 of the family's 1478-position model. The record is from RNAcentral.
GCGGACGGCUCAGUAACACGUAGUCAACCUAACUCGUGGACGUGGAUAACCUCGGGAAACUGAGAAUAAACCACGAUAGAUCAUAGUGCCUGGAAUGGCUUAUGGUCCAAACAGUUUACUGCCAUGGGAUGGGACUGCGGCCUAUCAGCUUGUUGGUGAGGUAAUGGCCCACCAAGGCGAUUACAGGUACGGGCUCUGAGAGGAGAAGCCCGGAGAUGGGUACUGAGACACGGACCCAGGCCCUAUGGGGCGCAGCAGGCGAGAAACCUUAGCAAUGUGCGAAAGCACGACUGGGUCAGUCCGAGUGAUUCCUGAUAAAGGAGUCUUUUGCUUGUCCUAAAAGCACAGGUGAAUAAGGGGUGGGCAAGUCUGGUGUCAGCCGCCGCGGUAAUACCAGCACCUCGAGUGGUCAGGACGUUUAUUGGGCCUAAAGCAUCCGUAGCCGGCUUUGCAAGUCUUCGGUUAAAUCCACCUGCUCAACAGAUGGGCCGCUGGAGAUACUACAGAGCUAGGGAGUGGGAGAGGCAGACGGUAUUCAGUGGGUAGGGGUAAAAUCCUCUGAUCCAUUGAGGACCACCAGUGGCGAAGGCGGUCUGCCAGAACACGUUCGACGGUGAGGGAUGAAAGCUGGGGGAGCAACCGGAUUAGAUACCCGGGUAGUCCCAGCUGUAAACGAUGCAAACUCGGUGAUGCAUUGGCUUAUGGCCA